AAAUCGGUUUUGUUUAAAACCAUAUAAUUUAACAAAAUCCACUUUU
Non-coding RNA from Zootermopsis nevadensis, 46 nucleotides. The record is from Rfam. Lineage: Eukaryota; Metazoa; Arthropoda; Insecta; Blattodea; Termopsidae.